AUUGAACGCUGGCGGCAUGCUUUACACAUGCAAGUCGAGCGGCAGCGCGGGGGCAACCCUGGCGGCGAGCGGCGAACGGGUGAGGAAUGCAUCGGAACGUGUCCCGUAGAGGGGGAUAGCUCGGCGAAAGCCGGAUUAAUACCGCAUAUGCUCUACGGAGGAAAGCCGGGGACCAGUAAUGGCCUGGCGCUAUGGGAGCGGCCGAUGCCCGAUUAGCUUGUUGGUGAGGUAAAGGCUUACCAAGGCGACGAUCGGUAGCUGGUCUGAGAG
RNAcentral lists this ribosomal RNA (270 nucleotides) under uncultured bacterium. RNAcentral's name for it is "partial 16S ribosomal RNA". It matches the Rfam family "Bacterial small subunit ribosomal RNA", at positions 28 to 298 of the family's 1533-position model. The record is from RNAcentral.